CAGCCGCCGCGGGAAUACGUAGGUGGCAAGCGUUGUCCGGAAUUAUUGGGCGUAAAGCGCGCGCAGGUGGUUUAAUAAGUCUGAUGUGAAAGCCCACGGCUCAACCGUGGAGGGUCAUUGGAAACUGUUAAACUUGAGUGCAGGAGAGAAAAGUGGAAUUCCUAGUGUAGCGGUGAAAUGCGUAGAGAUUAGGAGGAACACCAGUGGCGAAGGCGGCUUUUUGGCCUGUAACCGACACUGAGGCGCGAAAGCGUGGGGAGCAAACAGGAUUAGAUACCCCUGUAGUCCCUGUCUCUUAUAC
Molecule: ribosomal RNA, 301 nt
Filed under: uncultured bacterium
Lineage: Bacteria
Description: partial 16S ribosomal RNA
Rfam family: Bacterial small subunit ribosomal RNA
Source: RNAcentral